RNAcentral lists this transfer RNA (69 nucleotides) under Marmota monax (woodchuck). It matches the Rfam family "tRNA". Rfam says of the family: Transfer RNA (tRNA) molecules are approximately 80 nucleotides in length. Their secondary structure includes four short double-helical elements and three loops (D, anti-codon, and T loops). The record is from Rfam by way of RNAcentral. Lineage: Eukaryota; Metazoa; Chordata; Mammalia; Rodentia; Sciuridae.
GGAGUUGUGACUCAGUGGUAGAGCACUUGCCUAGCAUGUGUGAGGCUCUGAGUUCUAUUCUCAGCACCA